This 253-nucleotide ribosomal RNA is filed under the name uncultured bacterium. RNAcentral describes it as "partial 16S ribosomal RNA". It matches the Rfam family "Bacterial small subunit ribosomal RNA", at positions 524 to 776 of the family's 1533-position model. The record is from RNAcentral.
UACGUAGGGUGCGAGCGUUAAUCGGAAUUACUGGGCGUAAAGCGUGCGCAGGCGGUGAUGUAAGACAGUUGUGAAAUCCCCGGGCUCAACCUGGGAACUGCAUCUGUGACUGCAUCGCUGGAGUGCGGCAGAGGGGGAUGGAAUUCCGCGUGUAGCAGUGAAAUGCGUAGAUAUGCGGAGGAACACCGAUGGCGAAGGCAGUCCCCUGGGCCUGUACUGACGCUCAUGCACGAAAGCGUGGGGAGCAAACAGG